GGGGGUGUAGCUCAGUGGUAGAGUACAUACUUAGCAUGCAUGAAACCCUGGGUUCAAUCCCCAGCACCAGUA
This 72-nucleotide transfer RNA is filed under the name Heterocephalus glaber (naked mole-rat). It matches the Rfam family "tRNA". Rfam says of the family: Transfer RNA (tRNA) molecules are approximately 80 nucleotides in length. Their secondary structure includes four short double-helical elements and three loops (D, anti-codon, and T loops). The record is from Rfam by way of RNAcentral. Lineage: Eukaryota; Metazoa; Chordata; Mammalia; Rodentia; Bathyergidae.